This 384-nucleotide unclassified non-coding RNA is filed under the name uncultured Entrophosporaceae. Its description in RNAcentral is "uncultured Claroideoglomeraceae sequence contains 18S rRNA gene". The record is from RNAcentral. Lineage: Eukaryota; Fungi; Glomeromycota; Glomeromycetes; Entrophosporales; Entrophosporaceae.
CCCAACUAUCCCUAUUAAUCAUUACGUGGUCCUAAAACCAACAAAAUAGAACACCGUCCUAUUUUAUUAUUCCAUGCUAAUGUAUUCAAGCAAAAAUGCCCGCUUUAAACACUCUAAUUUUUUCAAAGUAAAGGUCCUAGUUCAUUGAAACACCCAAUAAAGAAGCAUCCCAAUUCACCAGAAGGUAAGAAAUUGGCUACACACCGAUUCAUGCCCCUAAAAGCACGACCAAUAUAUCCCAAUCCCGAAAUUCAACUACGAGCUUUUUAACCGCAACAACACUAAUAUACGCUAUCGGAGCUGGAAUAAUAGAAUAGGACGGCAUGGUUCUAUUUUGUUGGUUUCUAGGAUCACCGUAAUGAUUAAUAGGGAUAGUUGGGAUCU